GACGUAGGGCGCGAGCGUUGUCCGGAUUUAUUGGGCGUAAAGAGCUCGUAGGCGGCUUGUCGCGUCGACUGUGAAAUCCCGCGGCUCAACUGCGGGUCUGCAGUCGAUACGGGCAGGCUAGAGUUCGGUAGGGGAGACUGGAAUUCCUGGUGUAGCGGUGAAAUGCGCAGAUAUCAGGAGGAAUACCUAUGGCGAAAGCAGGCUUCUGGGCCAUCACUGACGCUGAGCUGCGAAAGCUAGGGGAGCAAACAGG
This 253-nucleotide ribosomal RNA is filed under the name uncultured bacterium. RNAcentral describes it as "partial 16S ribosomal RNA". It matches the Rfam family "Bacterial small subunit ribosomal RNA", at positions 524 to 776 of the family's 1533-position model. The record is from RNAcentral.